GACGGAGGGUGCUAGCGUUGUUCGGAAUCACUGGGCGUAAAGGGCGCGUAGGCGGCCUUUUCAGUCGGGCGUGAAAUCCCGGGGCUCAACCUCGGAACUGCCUUUGAUACUGCAAAUCUCGAGUCCGGAAGAGGUGGGUGGAAUUCCUAGUGUAGAGGUGAAAUUCGUAGAUAUUAGGAAGAACACCGGUGGCGAAGGCGGCCCACUGGUCCGGUACUGACGCUGAGGUGCGAAAGCGUGGGGAGCAAACAGG
This 253-nucleotide ribosomal RNA is filed under the name uncultured bacterium. Its description in RNAcentral is "partial 16S ribosomal RNA". It matches the Rfam family "Bacterial small subunit ribosomal RNA", at positions 524 to 776 of the family's 1533-position model. The record is from RNAcentral.